This 468-nucleotide ribosomal RNA is filed under the name uncultured bacterium. RNAcentral's name for it is "partial 16S ribosomal RNA". It matches the Rfam family "Bacterial small subunit ribosomal RNA", at positions 28 to 507 of the family's 1533-position model. The record is from RNAcentral.
GACGAACGCUGGCGGCGUGCUUAACACAUGCAAGUCGAACGGAAAGGCCCUGCUUUUGUGGGGGGCUCGAGUGGCGAACGGGUGAGUAACACGUGAGUAACCUGCCCUUGACUUUGGGAUAACUUCAGGAAACUGGGGCUAAUACCGGAUAGGAGCGCCUGCUGCAUGGUGGGGGUUGGAAAGUUUCGGCGGUUGGGGAUGGACUCGCGGCUUAUCAGCUUGUUGGUGGGGUAGUGGCUUACCAAGGCUUUGACGGGUAGCCGGCCUGAGAGGGUGACCGGCCACAUUGGGACUGAGAUACGGCCCAGACUCCUACGGGAGGCAGCAGUGGGGAAUAUUGCACAAUGGGCGGAAGCCUGAUGCAGCAACGCCGCGUGCGGGAUGACGGCCUUCGGGUUGUAAACCGCUUUCGCCUGUGACGAAGCGUGAGUGACGGUAAUGGGUAAAGAAGCACCGGCUAACUACGUG